This 696-nucleotide ribosomal RNA is filed under the name uncultured bacterium. Its description in RNAcentral is "bacterial SSU rRNA". It matches the Rfam family "Bacterial small subunit ribosomal RNA", at positions 32 to 715 of the family's 1533-position model. The record is from RNAcentral.
AACGCUAGCUACAGGCUUAACACAUGCAAGUCGAGGGGCAGCAUUUUAGUUUGCUUGCAAACUAAAGAUGGCGACCGGCGCACGGGUGAGUAACACGUAUCCAACCUGCCGAUAACUCGGGGAUAGCCUUUCGAAAGAAAGAUUAAUAUCCGAUGGUAUAUUAAAACCGCAUGGUUUUACUAUUAAAGAAUUUCGGUUAUCGAUGGGGAUGCGUUCCAUUAGUUUGUUGGCGGGGUAACGGCCCACCAAGACUACGAUGGAUAGGGGUUCUGAGAGGAAGGUCCCCCACAUUGGGAACUGAGACACGGUCCAAACUCCUACGGAGAGCAGCAGUGAGGAAUAUUGGUCAAUGGACGAGAGUCUGAACCAGCCAAGUAGCGUGAAGGAUGACUGCCCUAUGGGUUGUAACCUUCUUUUAUAUGGGAAUAAAGUAUUCCACGUGUGGGAUUUUGUAUGUACCAUAUGAAUAAGGAUCGGCUAACUCCGUGCCAGCAGCCGCGGUAAUACGGAGGAUCCGAGCGUUAUCCGGAUUUAUUGGGUUUAAAGGGAGCGUAGGUGGAUUGUUAAGUCAGUUGUGAAAGUUUGCGGCUCAACCGUAAAAUUGCAGUUGAAACUGGCAGUCUUGAGUACAGUAGAGGUGGGCGGAAUUCGUGGUGUAGCGGUGAAAUGCUUAGAUAUCACGAAGAACUCCGAUUG